Molecule: ribosomal RNA, 1370 nt
Filed under: Escherichia coli
Lineage: Bacteria; Pseudomonadati; Pseudomonadota; Gammaproteobacteria; Enterobacterales; Enterobacteriaceae
Description: partial 23S ribosomal RNA
Rfam family: Bacterial large subunit ribosomal RNA
Source: RNAcentral
ACAAAUGCCCUGCUUCCAGGAAAAGCCUCUAAGCAUCAGGUAACAUUAAAUCGUACCCCAAACCGACACAGGUGGUCAGGUAGAGAAUACCAAGGCGCUUGAGAGAACUCGGGUGAAGGAACUAGGCAAAAUGGUGCCGUAACUUCGGGAGAAGGCACGCUGAUAUGUAGGUGAAGCGACUUGCUCGUGGAGCUGAAAUCAGUCGAAGAUACCAGCUGGCUGCAACUGUUUAUUAAAAACACAGCACUGUGCAAACACGAAAGUGGACGUAUACGGUGUGACGCCUGCCCGGUGCCGGAAGGUUAAUUGAUGGGGUUAGCGGCAACGCGAAGCUCUUGAUCGAAGCCCCGGUAAACGGCGGCCGUAACUAUAACGGUCCUAAGGUAGCGAAAUUCCUUGUCGGGUAAGUUCCGACCUGCACGAAUGGCGUAAUGAUGGCCAGGCUGUCUCCACCCGAGACUCAGUGAAAUUGAACUCGCUGUGAAGAUGCAGUGUACCCGCGGCAAGACGGAAAGACCCCGUGAACCUUUACUAUAGCUUGACACUGAACAUUGAGCCUUGAUGUGUAGGAUAGGUGGGAGGCUUUGAAGUGUGGACGCCAGUCUGCAUGGAGCCGACCUUGAAAUACCACCCUUUAAUGUUUGAUGUUCUAACGUGGGCCCGUAAUCCGGGUUGCGGACAGUGUCUGGUGGGUAGUUUGACUGGGGCGGUCUCCUCCUAAAGAGUAACGGAGGAGCACGAAGGUUGGCUAAUCCUGGUCGGACAUCAGGAGGUUAGUGCAAUGGCAUAAGCCAGCUUGACUGCGAGCGUGACGGCGCGAGCAGGUGCGAAAGCAGGUCAUAGUGAUCCGGUGGUUCUGAAUGGAAGGGCCAUCGCUCAACGGAUAAAAGGUACUCCGGGGAUAACAGGCUGAUACCGCCCAAGAGUUCAUAUCGACGGCGGUGUUUGGCACCUCGAUGUCGGCUCAUCACAUCCUGGGGCUGAAGUAGGUCCCAAGGGUAUGGCUGUUCGCCAUUUAAAGUGGUACGCGAGCUGGGUUUAGAACGUCGUGAGACAGUUCGGUCCCUAUCUGCCGUGGGCGCUGGAGAACUGAGGGGGGCUGCUCCUAGUACGAGAGGACCGGAGUGGACGCAUCACUGGUGUUCGGGUUGUCAUGCCAAUGGCACUGCCCGGUAGCUAAAUGCGGAAGAGAUAAGUGCUGAAAGCAUCUAAGCACGAAACUUGCCCCGAGAUGAGUUCUCCCUGACCCUUUAAGGGUCCUGAAGGAACGUUGAAGACGACGACGUUGAUAGGCCGGGUGUGUAAGCGCAGCGAUGCGUUGAGCUAACCGGUACUAAUGAACCGUGAGGCUUAACCUUACAACGCCGAAG